Small nucleolar RNA from Drosophila grimshawi, 304 nucleotides. NCBI's taxonomy places the organism in Eukaryota, Metazoa, Arthropoda, Insecta, Diptera, Drosophilidae. The record is from Rfam.
GCUGCUUGAGGUAACUGCCGUGUCAACGACUCAAUAGACAAAAGCACACAGUUUCGUCCGUUGUAAUCUUAGCGGCCGUCUCGGAGCAUGCGGCGGUCGCUGUAAGGCCAGCGGAACAACAAACGCUGCCAUUUUUACGCUAGACUGUUGUUUGUCGCUCAAGCUAAAGCCAAAUAAUUUAGGCGUGGGCUCACAAUUAUCUUAUUUUAAAUGAAACGCUAGGUGCUAUUGUCGCCCCAUGCACAGUAGUUAUCGAGGCAGGUGUUGUUGCCACAUUGACGACGUCUUUAGUAAUCUGAGUGCU